RNAcentral lists this small RNA (499 nucleotides) under uncultured Diversispora. RNAcentral describes it as "SSU rRNA". It matches the Rfam family "Eukaryotic small subunit ribosomal RNA", at positions 569 to 1071 of the family's 1831-position model. Lineage: Eukaryota; Fungi; Glomeromycota; Glomeromycetes; Diversisporales; Diversisporaceae. The record is from RNAcentral.
AGCAGCCGCGGUAAUUCCAGCUCCAAUAGCGUAUAUUAAAGUUGUUGCAGUUAAAAAGCUCGUAGUUGAACUUCGGGGUUUACCCAUUGGUCAGGCUUAAUUGUCUGUACUGGUGAGAUAAAUCUCUACCUUCUGAGGAACUUUCAUGUCAUUAAUUUGGUGUGAUUGGAAAUCAGGACUGUUACUUUGAAAAAUUAGAGUGUUUAAAGCAGGCUAACGUCUGAAUACAUUAGCAUGGAAUAAUGAAAUAGGACGGAUUGAUUCUAUUUCGUUGGUUUCUAGGAUCACCGUAAUGAUUAAUAGGGAUAGUUGGGGGCAUUAGUAUUCAAUUGUCAGAGGUGAAAUUCUUGGAUUUAUUGAAGACUAACUACUGCGAAAGCAUUUGCCAAGGAUGUUUUCAUUAAUCAAGAACGAAAGUUAGGGGAUCGAAGACGAUCAGAUACCGUCGUAGUCUUAACCAUAAACUAUGCCGACUAGGGAUCGGACGAAGUUAAUUUUA